UUGAACGCUUGCGGCAUGCCUUACACAUGCAAGUCGAACGGUAACAGGUCUUUCGGGAUGCUGACGAGUGGCGAACGGGUGAGUAAUACAUCGGAACGUGCCUAGUAGUGGGGGAUAACUACUCGAAAGAGUGGCUAAUACCGCAUGAGAUCUAUGGAUGAAAGCAGGGGACCUUUGGGCCUUGUGCUACUAGAGCGGCCGAUGGCAGAUUAGGUAGUUGGUGGGAUAAAAGCUUACCAAGCCUACGAUCUGUAGCUGGUCUGAGAGGACGAUCAGCCACACUGGGACUGAGACACGGCCCAGACUCCUACGGGAGGCAGCAGUGGGGAAUUUUGGACAAUGGGCGCAAGCCUGAUCCAGCAAUGCCGCGUGCAGGAUGAAGGCCUUCGGGUUGUAAACUGCUUUUGUACGGAACGAAAAGUCUUGGGUUAAUACCCUGGGAUCAUGACGGUACCGUAAGAAUAAGCACCGGCUAACUACGUG
This 483-nucleotide ribosomal RNA is filed under the name uncultured bacterium. Its description in RNAcentral is "partial 16S ribosomal RNA". It matches the Rfam family "Bacterial small subunit ribosomal RNA", at positions 30 to 507 of the family's 1533-position model. The record is from RNAcentral.